AUUGAACGCUGGCGGCAUGCCUUACACAUGCAAGUCGAACGGUAACGGGCCUUCGGGUGCCGACGAGUGGCGAACGGGUGAGCAAUACAUCGGAACGUGCCCGAUCGUGGGGGAUAACGAGGCGAAAGCUUUGCUAAUACCGCAUACGAUCUACGGAUGAAAGCAGGGGACCGCAAGGCCUUGCGCGGACGGAGCGGCCGAUGGCAGAUUAGGUAGUUGGUGGGAUAAAAGCUUACCAAGCCGACGAUCUGUAGCUGGUCUGAGAGGAUGAUCAGCCACACUGGGACUGAGACACGGCCCAGACUCCUACGGGAGGCAGCAGUGGGGAAUUUUGGACAAUGGGCGCAAGCCUGAUCCAGCCAUGCCGCGUGCAGGAUGAAGGCCUUCGGGUUGUAAACUGCUUUUGUACGGAACGAAAAGCCUUCUUUUAAUACAGGAGGGUCAUGACGGUACCGUAAGAAUAAGCACCGGCUAACUACGUG
Molecule: ribosomal RNA, 482 nt
Filed under: uncultured bacterium
Lineage: Bacteria
Description: partial 16S ribosomal RNA
Rfam family: Bacterial small subunit ribosomal RNA
Source: RNAcentral